RNAcentral lists this non-coding RNA (201 nucleotides) under Micromonospora echinospora. The record is from RNAcentral. Lineage: Bacteria; Bacillati; Actinomycetota; Actinomycetes; Micromonosporales; Micromonosporaceae.
GCGGCACGACUUGAGUGAGGUGCCCCGCGCGAGCGGGGAGAAUCGGGAAGCCGGUGCGAAUCCGGCACGGGCCCGCCGCGGUGACCGGGGAGCCACCGUCCACGCGCGAAGAGCGCAGCCACUGGUCCGCACGGGCUGGGAAGGCGGACGGCACGGCGUCGAUCCGGGAGUCCGAAGACCGGCCUCGCGUCACGCGCCCAC